UACGUAGGGUGCAAGCGUUAAUCGGAAUUACUGGGCGUAAAGCGUGCGCAGGCGGCUUUGGAAGACAGAUGUGAAAUCCCCGGGCUUAACCUGGGAACUGCAUUUGUGACUGCAUCGCUGGAGUGCGGCAGAGGGGGAUGGAAUUCCGCGUGUAGCAGUGAAAUGCGUAGAUAUGCGGAGGAACACCGAUGGCGAAGGCCAUCCCCUGGGCCUGCACUUGCGCUCAUGCCCGGAAGCGUGGGGAGCAAACAGG
RNAcentral lists this ribosomal RNA (253 nucleotides) under uncultured bacterium. RNAcentral's name for it is "partial 16S ribosomal RNA". It matches the Rfam family "Bacterial small subunit ribosomal RNA", at positions 524 to 776 of the family's 1533-position model. The record is from RNAcentral.